AGUCGUAUCGAUUCGAUUGGGAUAGUCAUCAAAUAAAUCUGAAAACCGAGAAGACUUCUCUUGACAAUGGCGGGCCACAUAAAACGCAUUUCAGCGACUAAACCUUAGGGUCGGUGGAUUACAAAAGCAGAGAGUUCUCUUAUCAUAGAUACUCGGACUUUUCAUCACAUCAUCGAUGCGGCUUUCUCA
Molecule: non-coding RNA, 189 nt
Organism: Prevotella intermedia 17
Lineage: Bacteria; Pseudomonadati; Bacteroidota; Bacteroidia; Bacteroidales; Prevotellaceae
Source: Rfam